GCAGCUGUAGCUCAGUUGGUUAGAGCGCCUGAUUGUGGAUCAGGAGGUCGCCUGUUCAAGCCAGGCCAGCUGUACCA
Molecule: transfer RNA, 77 nt
Filed under: Rhodoligotrophos appendicifer
Lineage: Bacteria; Pseudomonadati; Pseudomonadota; Alphaproteobacteria; Hyphomicrobiales; Rhodoligotrophaceae
Also listed under: 2 other names
Description: tRNA-His
Rfam family: tRNA
About the family: Transfer RNA (tRNA) molecules are approximately 80 nucleotides in length. Their secondary structure includes four short double-helical elements and three loops (D, anti-codon, and T loops). Further hydrogen bonds mediate the characteristic L-shaped molecular structure. tRNAs have two regions of fundamental functional importance: the anti-codon, which is responsible for specific mRNA codon recognition, and the 3' end, to which the tRNAs corresponding amino acid is attached (by aminoacyl-tRNA synthetases). tRNAs cope with the degeneracy of the genetic code in two manners: having more than one tRNA (with a specific anti-codon) for a particular amino acid; and 'wobble' base-pairing, i.e. permitting non-standard base-pairing at the 3rd anti-codon position.
Source: RNAcentral